RNAcentral lists this ribosomal RNA (497 nucleotides) under uncultured bacterium. RNAcentral's name for it is "partial 16S ribosomal RNA". It matches the Rfam family "Bacterial small subunit ribosomal RNA", at positions 28 to 507 of the family's 1533-position model. The record is from RNAcentral.
GAUGAACGCUGGCGGCGUGCCUAAUACAUGCAAGUCGAGCGAACAGACGAGGAGCUUGCGCCUCUGACGUUAGCGGAGGACGGGUGAGUAACACGUGGAUAACCUACCUAUAAGACUGGGAUAACUUCGGGAAACCGGAGCUUAUACCGGAUAAUAUAUUGCACCGCAUGGUUGGAUAGUGAAAGACGGCUUUGCUGUCACUUAUAGCUGGAUCUGCGCCGCAUGAGCUAGUUGGUAAGGUAACGGCUUACCAAGGCGACGAUGCGUAGCCGACCUGAGAGGGUGAUCGGCCACAUGGGAACGGAGACACGGUCCAGACUCCUACGGGAGGCAGCAGUAGGGAAUCGUCCGCAGUGGGCGAAAGCCUGACGGAGCAACGCCGCGUGAGUGAUGAAGGUCUUCGGAGCGUAAAACUCUGUUAUUAGGUAAGAACAAAUGUGUAAGUAACUAUGCACGUCUUGACGGUACCUAAUCAGAAAGCCACGGCUAACUACGUG